UGGGGAAUUUUCCGCAAUGGGCGAAAGCCUGACGGAGCAAUGCCGCGUGGAGGUGGAAGGCCUACGGGUCGUCAACUUCUUUUCUCGGAGAAGAAACAAUGACGGUAUCUGAGGAAUAAGCAUCGGCCUAACUCUGUGCUAG
RNAcentral lists this ribosomal RNA (142 nucleotides) under uncultured bacterium. Its description in RNAcentral is "partial 16S rRNA". It matches the Rfam family "Bacterial small subunit ribosomal RNA", at positions 355 to 511 of the family's 1533-position model. The record is from RNAcentral.